RNAcentral lists this long non-coding RNA (1023 nucleotides) under Equus asinus (donkey). Its description in RNAcentral is "lncRNA (ENSEASG00005034018.1)". The record is from RNAcentral. Lineage: Eukaryota; Metazoa; Chordata; Mammalia; Perissodactyla; Equidae.
AAGGCCCCUCCCCAGCUGCCCGCCCCCGCCGGAACCCGCCGCCCGCCGCCGCCGCCGCGCGCGGGGCCCCGGCCAGAGGGCCCUCACCUGGGACCGCCGGCGGCCCGCAGAUUCCUCCGGGCGGGGCGGGGAGGCGGGCGCGGACCUCCACCCGCCGGGCCCGCCGCAUCCAAGCGGGAAACCGAGGUCGGGGGAGGAAGCCGGGCCUCGCCCGGGGCACGCGGACGAUGGGAGGCCAGAAGGCACAACCUUGUCUCCAGAUCCUAGCACAGGACUUUGGCACGCAGAGGAUGCUGAAGUUUGUUGACUGACUAAUGGAGCGAGACCACAGAGCGCCCACCAUUUACUGUGCCCUUUACCCUGUUACGUUAUUUCAUCCUCCCGGUGACCCUGAGGCUCUGAAAGAUGAAACAAUUAGAUUCAGGUCAUCUGGAAGUCAAACAGGUGACAUUUAGGAAGCCCUUCGUGGACCCUGGCCACAGGUAAGUCCUAGGCUGUCCUGGGGGAGGAGGAGAGCGACCAUUGAGAGAGGCUGACCGCGCGCCAGGCUCUGCGCCACCCCUGUGAGUUCUCAGUGUCUUUGGGAAGCUUCCAGGCUCUGAAGAAAGAAAUGGCUCUGGGAGUGGGUGGAUUCUAAAGAUGAGGGUUGGAAAUUUCGGAGGCCUGGAGGGAACAAUUCUGCCCUGAAGCAUCUCUCUUCGAAGACACUUUCCUGAAAGUGGCUGUCACUGAAUCCCUCUGAUGCGCCACAUGAAGGCGCUGAGAGAUGAGAUUGGCAAGUGAAAUGAACCUGUCUUCACGCUUGAUAAAUCAGAGCGGAUCGUCAGUCCUGCCACUCCUGUCCACCUUUCAAAGACAGGAGAGAGAAUGGGACUCAAUGCGCACUGCCCGAUGGAGUCCCAGCCCUGCCACAUACCAGCAGGGUGACCUGGAUCUGUCUCUUAACCUAUCCAAGCCUCACUUUCUGCACCUGCAAAUUGGGGAUGAUAAGACCUAAGUCACGCUUUGUCCUGAGGACUAAAU